CUUGGCCCUUGGACAUUUCUUUGCUGCGCGUUGAAUUUUUUCAGCGCGUGGGGGAGAAGGCGAGGGGCUUUGYUGGGUUGUGACCGUGACGGCAUGUGAGUGGUUGUUGAUGUGCGCACUACGUCAGGCUCCCCGCUUUGUUGCGGCCAACUGACGAGUACCACAUACCUCUUUCAUUCCUAUGUGUUGAAUUUCACUAGGUUUGAUGUUGCCUUCGUGGAAAUCGGACCGGGUUCGGAAUACAAUGAUGGAUGAUGCUUAUCUGUACUGCCCCUUGUCUUAUCCAAGCGUUUGAAAGGGGUACCCAGCUGGAUACUUUGGUAUUUUGAUUGCUUCGUUGUGUUGCCUAUCAUUUUUAUCGUUGAGUGSUCCAAAAAUUUUACGGGUGUUGUGCAUGCUAAAGAGUCUUGGGAAGCCUUUCCUUCGUGCUUAUUAUUUCUAGCUCGGUUUCGCCGCCACCUGUCUUAAUAAACGCCUGCACGUGUCAUGGAGUGUCUUCUUCUUUGAGGAGGAAUACAAAAUGUUACUGUGUANGUGUUUAAAAGGA
Molecule: unclassified non-coding RNA, 547 nt
Filed under: Allium canadense var. mobilense
Lineage: Eukaryota; Viridiplantae; Streptophyta; Magnoliopsida; Asparagales; Amaryllidaceae
Description: partial external transcribed spacer
Source: RNAcentral